Molecule: transfer RNA, 68 nt
Filed under: Paramesotriton yunwuensis
Lineage: Eukaryota; Metazoa; Chordata; Amphibia; Caudata; Salamandridae
Description: tRNA-Ala
Rfam family: tRNA
About the family: Transfer RNA (tRNA) molecules are approximately 80 nucleotides in length. Their secondary structure includes four short double-helical elements and three loops (D, anti-codon, and T loops).
Source: RNAcentral
AAGCUUUAGCUUAAUUAAAGUGUCUGGGUUGCAUUCAGAAGAUGUGGGGUAAUAUCCUGCAGGUUUUA